This is a long non-coding RNA of Centruroides sculpturatus (bark scorpion), 1477 nucleotides long. RefSeq lists it as uncharacterized. The record is from RefSeq and is a predicted model, not a curated record. NCBI's taxonomy places the organism in Eukaryota, Metazoa, Arthropoda, Arachnida, Scorpiones, Buthidae. The transcript is spliced from 3 exons.
AUUAUGAAUAAUAUACAUAUACACCAUGUUGCAUAAAUUUUUAGUCAUUUAAUGAUUCUUUCAACAUCUCAAUACAGAGUAAAUUCAUUACAUUUGAUUUUUGCUGAUUUAUCAAUAAUAAUUACAACUUAAAAAUACAAUUGUCGUAUAAAAUUCUCCUAGUUUCAAGUCCUAAAAACUUCUAAACUUAUUAUCUGAUUUUGACAAUACUUCACUGCUAUAUUCUUCAAGUCAAUACUUUUCUUACGUGUACACAGAUGACAGCAUUGGCCUGUUGUUUUAACAAAGAAUGUAAAAAUGGCAUAAUGCAGAAAAAGCAAAAUGUGUGAUGUAUGAAAAAUUAGAAAGUGUGUUGCCUGAGGGAGUAAUUUUCCAACAGAAUGGACUCCAUUGAUCUCACCAUUUGAUUGGACAUUUAAUGACAAUUGAUGUGGUAGUCCCACAGAGUAAAGAAAUAUAUACAUCCAGAAUGGUAGCUGGCAUUAGUAUUAUGAAGCUGACUUGGAACAGGAAGUGAUGCCAUAUUUUAGGGCAGAAGCGAAAGUUCUGUACUUUUUGUCCCACUUUUCACCAGUAAGUGUAUAAUAUAUUUUUUUAAAUUACUAUAUAUGUAUGAUACCCAAUACUCUGAGAAUACCCAAUACCAUGUUCUGAGAUUUUUUUACAUUAUUUUAAAUUAUUCAUUGUAGAUUUUCUUCUGAGCUGAUAUUAAAAAGAAAAUGGAUUGUUACAAAAAGAACUAAAUGGCAACAAACCCAGUAGUCUGUUCUUUGUUUGGUUCAUUUUAGCAGUGAUUGCUAUUAUUUAUCAUCAACUGCACACAAGAUCCUAAGAAAGAAUGCAGUUCCCCAAUAUUUGAAUUUCCUGAUCAUCUGAAAAAGAAAAAUGAAAGCAGAUGGGUUCUUAUAAGAAAUAGGCUUAAUGACAAUGAACAAAAUAUUUGUGACAUUGUUAUAGAAGCAUCAAGCUGUCUUCAAAUGCUGCCAUUGAUGCUACAAAUUCAGCAUAUUAGUGGACCACACUUAUGCUAUAAUUGAAUCUCCAAGAAAAAUAAAAAAAUAAUUGCUUCAACAAGUGGAAAGAAAUAUGGCACUUCAGAAAAAAUUAAAAACAUUACAACAAUGCAAGAGGCAAAAAAAAACAAACAGUAAAAUAGAAACCCUGAAGGAAGCCAUACAAGAUGAAUUGUUGCAAGCAUUUUUAAUUUUUAAUUACUUUUUUAUUGACUUUAAUUUUACAACAAAACAAAAAGAAACAAAGAAAAAUAAUUACAUCAUUGAGGCAGGACUGGAGUUGCUGGAGGAAUGUUCAGAUUCCUCCAGCAACCCCACUUAUGGCACUCCAAUUAAUGCAGGCUGUCCAACAUUGGUUGUUUUUCCUAAUUAAAAACAGUGCAGGCACCCCAUGGAUCCUAUGGUUACUUUUUCCAACUUUCCUAUCUCACUUCAUUUUCCCUCUUCCCUUUCACUUCUCCAUU